This 736-nucleotide long non-coding RNA is filed under the name Anas platyrhynchos platyrhynchos (common mallard). RNAcentral describes it as "lncRNA (ENSAPLG00000027342.1)". Lineage: Eukaryota; Metazoa; Chordata; Aves; Anseriformes; Anatidae. The record is from RNAcentral.
GCUUUGUAGAGCUCAAUCAGGAACAUUCUCAGGGGCUGAAGACCUUAUUCCAUAGUUCAGCACCAUCAGUGUGAGUGACAUAAAAACCUUCCCUGAAUUCACUCCUAUGAUGUCUCCUAACUCCAGGAAAACCUUAUGGCAAAGAUAAAAAGUGUCCUUAACAGUGAAAAUGAAAGCUUAAGAAAGCAGCUAUUGUCUCUGAAGAUAGAGACCAACAAACAAAUCAGUGAAACAUAUUAUAGUUAUCUUCCAUUUGGCUUCAAGAAAUUGUCUGGUGCACAACUGCUUCACAUUUCACAAACCUUCACGCUCCUCUGUGAAAAGCUAACAGCUGCAGGAUUUGGUCAAAACAAGCAACCAGAGGACAAGACUGCGAGAGAGUUUGAGGGAAGAUAGCAAAACAAUUUCAGAAAAUCCUAUUACAGCAAAACAAAAGUUCUAUUUGUUUUGUUCUUAUGUUCUGUUUUAUGAAGCUGUACUGUCUGUAGCUAUCAGAUAAUCUUGCUGAACUUCAGUGUCCCUGCUAUUAAAUGUGUAAUAUAUAAGACCAUGAAUUUAUCUUUCCGUUUUCAGUAAAAAAGUAAUUGAAACAAAGCUGUUUUGCUGUCCCACUAGCCUGAUUCUGCAGGGAACAGGCACUUCAUCAUGUAGUUUUUGAAUAGUGGAUUGUGAUAACAAAAACAAAUACCAACAGACAGAUGAAAUAAAGGAACAGGCUUUUAUAUGAAUAAAAGCA